UCCCCAGACUGUGGCUUUUCUUUUUCUUGGAACUGAUCGGCCCUGGCCAGGCCCUGGACUGAAAACCCAGAAAAGCACCGUGAGUUCCCACUUGUAGCCCACCAGGGCCAGGGAUGCAGCAUUUUUCAGCACAGGAGGGACUGAUGAGAGACUGAGCAGGGCAAGCUACACCCCACAACAAGGACUUCCUGAACUUGCCAUCUCUUCAGGAGAGUGAGAGGAAAUCUUUUCCCAAACCAGUUGGGCAAGGAGCUGCUUGAAUCUGCUUUCUAGAGGGACCCCUUUGGAAGUUUCCUCUCAAAUUUGCUCUAAACCAGGACCAUCCUCCACCCCCUUCUCUUCAACAUCUUCAUUAAUGACUUGGACACAGGACACAAAUUCUGCUGAUGGCACUAAACUGGGAGAAGCUGUAGACUCCCUCAAAGACAGAGAGGCCCUGCAGAGAGACCUUGACAAAGGAGAGAGGUGGGAAAUCACCAAUCAAAAUUUGUUUUAGCAGAUCUUCACUGGGAGAAUGAUGGCACUAUCUGCCCUGACUAAAGGAGAGAAAGCAAAAAUUUACAGUCAUCAGAAGCUCCAGGAAUUCAACUGAAGUCACAACAUAUCCUUUCUGUGCAAAUGAUACAGGAAAACAAGAACCUCAGAUGAAAUCUGUGACUAAAGAGCUGCUCUACAUAUUGCUCAUCCCUGAGCUUCAAGAACAAGCUACUUUAUUUGAAUUCUCAUAAUGUAUUUUCCUUGAAGAGAAGUACUCUGCCACUCUUAAUG
Long non-coding RNA from Pseudopodoces humilis (Tibetan ground-tit), 768 nucleotides. RefSeq lists it as uncharacterized. Lineage: Eukaryota; Metazoa; Chordata; Aves; Passeriformes; Paridae. The record is from RefSeq and is a predicted model, not a curated record.